Hylaeus anthracinus is the source of this 597-nucleotide long non-coding RNA. RefSeq lists it as uncharacterized. The record is from RefSeq and is a predicted model, not a curated record. NCBI's taxonomy places the organism in Eukaryota, Metazoa, Arthropoda, Insecta, Hymenoptera, Colletidae. The transcript is spliced from 3 exons.
CAUAAGUAUGUAAUUAAAGACAUCAAAUACACCGCAUAAAAUAAAGUAAAGUAAAGAAUAGUAAAUAAAGGAAUGUUUUAAUGAGGAACAGUGAAGAGUAAUGAAAAUAAGUCAAUAAUUAUGAAGUGUAAGUUUUAAUUUAAUUGUACGUUUGGCUUCCUCAAAGCGAGCCGGGAUUAAAGAGUGUGAAAUAAAUUUGCGAUUUGGAAAUUCGUAACUUGGAUUUAAAGCAUGUACAAAUUCUUUGAAUCCAAUAUUAUCAACUAUUUGAAAAGUAUGUGCUGAAGUGUCCUGAAAUGUUCACAGUAGCAAUGGCAAUACGUUACUUGGACCAGGUUGAGAAUUUGUAGUAUGUUCUGAACUGUCUUGAGUUGUUGGCAAUAUGAUAAUAUUGCUUGGUCCAGUUUGAGGAACUUCUGGAUUAUCAGGAUCAGUUGCGGACUGUGAUGACUGUGGGUAGAAAAAAUGGAAACAUGGAGAAAUACAUUCUACAAUCAAUAGAUAUAUGAAAAAGCAUGCAGGAAAAUGUUUUUAGAUUAGAGAUAAUUACAGUGUUAAUACGUACAAACAAAAAUAAAUAUUUUUGUUAUAUUUUUA